CUAACCGCGCAAAGGUAGCGUAAUCACUUGUUCUUUAAAUGAGGACUUGUAUCAACGGCAUCACGAGGGUUUUACUGUCUCCUUUCUCUAAUCAGUGAAACUAACCUCCCCGUGAAGAAGCGAGGAUAUAUAUAUAAGACGAGAAGACCCCAUGGAGCUUUAAACCUAGCUACAAUCCAAUUUCUUAAGCCUGCUCAUUAAACAGGAUCAUGUAUGCUCAGUUUUAGGUUGGGGUGACCACGGAGCACAACAAAACCUCCUUGAUAAAAGAAGCUACUUUCUUAUCCGAGAGCCACACCUCUAAGAAUUAAUAUAUUAAUAUAAAAUGAUCCGAUAAUCGAUCAACGGACCAAGUUACCCUGGGGAUAACAGCGCAAUCCAUUUCAAGAGCUCCUAUCGACAAAUGGGUUUACGACCUCGAUGUUGGAUCAGGAUAUCCUAGUGGUGCAGCAGCUACUAAAGGUUCGUUUGUUCAACGAUUAAAAUCCUACGUGAUCU
RNAcentral lists this ribosomal RNA (498 nucleotides) under Gephyromantis ambohitra. RNAcentral's name for it is "partial large subunit ribosomal RNA". It matches the Rfam family "Bacterial large subunit ribosomal RNA", at positions 1942 to 2606 of the family's 2925-position model. The record is from RNAcentral. Lineage: Eukaryota; Metazoa; Chordata; Amphibia; Anura; Mantellidae.